AAGGAUCAUUAUCGAAGUCGAACGCUAGGAGGGAAAGGGGGAGCCCGACUGUCGCUGGCCUCGCGGCGCGUGCACGUCGCUCUUCGGACCCUCCGAAGCUUCAACCUUCUCCACACCCGUGUGCACCCGUUGUAGGUCCUUCGGGAUCCUAUGUCUACCUCUCUCGAACUCGCAUGUCUACAGAACGCGUGUGUCGUGUCGACCGGCGUCCGCGUCGGCGACCGCAAACCUUUGUACAACUUUCAGCAAUGGAUCUCUUGGCUCUCGCAUCGAUGAAGGACGCAGCGAAUCGCGAUAAGUAAUGUGAAUUGCAGAUUUUCCGUGAAUCAUCGAAUCUUUGAACGCACCUUGCGCUCCUCGGUAUUCCGAGGAGCAUGCCUGUUUGAGUGUCAUCGAAACCUCGAACCGACGCCUUCGAUCAGUUCGAAGCUCGGUC
This 436-nucleotide unclassified non-coding RNA is filed under the name uncultured Scleroderma. RNAcentral describes it as "sequence contains ITS1, 5.8S rRNA gene, ITS2". The stretch from base 238 to 392 matches the Rfam family "5.8S ribosomal RNA". Lineage: Eukaryota; Fungi; Basidiomycota; Agaricomycetes; Boletales; Sclerodermataceae. The record is from RNAcentral.